UCCUGGCGUCACGGAUGAACGCUGGCGGCGUGCUUAACUCAUGCAAGUCGACGAAAGCACUUGCAGCAGGACUGGAGAGCUUGCUCAAAGGGAAGCAGCAUUUGACUGAGUGGCGGACGGGUGAGUAACGCGUGGAUAACCUGCCUCAGUACAGGGGGAUAACGAGUUGGAAACGGCUGUUAAUACCGCAUAAGCGCACGAAACCGCAUGGUUUUGUGUGAAAAACUCCGGUGGUAUGAGAUGGGUCCGCGUCUGAUUAGCUAGUUGGCAGGGUAACGGCCUACCAAGGCGACGAUCAGUAGCCGGCCUGAGAGGGUGUACGGUCACAUUGGGACUGAGACACGGCCCAAACUCCUACGGGAGGCAGCAGUGGGGAAUAUUGCACAAUGGGGGAAACCCUGAUGCAGCGACGCCGCGUGGGUGAAGAAGUAUUUCGGUAUGUAAAGCCCUAUCAGCAGGGAAGAAAAUGACGGUACCUGACUAAGAAGCCCCGGCUAACUACGUG
RNAcentral lists this ribosomal RNA (505 nucleotides) under uncultured Lachnospiraceae bacterium. RNAcentral's name for it is "bacterial SSU rRNA". It matches the Rfam family "Bacterial small subunit ribosomal RNA", at positions 27 to 507 of the family's 1533-position model. The record is from RNAcentral. Lineage: Bacteria; Bacillati; Bacillota; Clostridia; Lachnospirales; Lachnospiraceae.